GGCUUCGGAGUCGUAGGAACUCCGAAGUUAAGCGAGUUGGGGGCUAGAGCAAUCCCAGGAUGGGUGACCCACUGGGAAGUUGCUCGUGAGCUCCCAGAAACAAAACCGUGAGGACAGAGAAGGGGGCCCAAAGCGGACAAUAUCGUGCUACAGCGGAGCCGAUCCCGGGGUGUGACAAUUUGGUAUCAGAGCCACUCAGUCGUGUGGUGCGAGUGUGCCGACGAGGACGUCGGGCCCUUAAG
Molecule: long non-coding RNA, 242 nt
Filed under: Prunus persica (peach)
Lineage: Eukaryota; Viridiplantae; Streptophyta; Magnoliopsida; Rosales; Rosaceae
Description: long non-coding RNA (PPER_LNC002303)
Source: RNAcentral